RNAcentral lists this ribosomal RNA (472 nucleotides) under uncultured bacterium. RNAcentral describes it as "bacterial SSU rRNA". It matches the Rfam family "Bacterial small subunit ribosomal RNA", at positions 355 to 825 of the family's 1533-position model. The record is from RNAcentral.
UGGGGAAUAUUGGACAAUGGGGGAAACCCUGAUCCAGCGACGCCGCGUGUGUGAAGAAGGCCUGCGGGUUGUAAAGCACUUUCGGUGGGAACGAAAUGUGCCGGGCUAAUAUCCCGGCAAGCUGACGUUACUCAAUGAAGAAGCACCGGCUAACUCUGUGCCAGCAGCCGCGGUAAUACAGAGGGUGCGAGCGUUAAUCGGAAUUACUGGGCGUAAAGAGCUCGUAGGCCGCUCUGUAAGUCGGAAGUGGAAGACCACGGCUCAACCGUGGAAACGCUUUCGAAACUGUGGAGCUUGAGGCCGGGAGAGGAGAUCGGAAUUCCUGGUGUAGCGGUGAAAUGCGUAGAUAUCAGGAGGAACACCCGUGGCGAAGGCGGAUCUCUGGACCGGUUCUGACGCUGAGGAGCGAAAGCUAGGGGAGCAAACAGGAUUAGAUACCCACGUAGUCCCUGAGCGGGCUGGCAAGGCGCAU